GAAGCUGAGGCGGCAGCAACAGAUCGAACGAGAGCUCAAUGGGUACAUGGAGUGGAUCUCGAAAGCAGAAGAGGUGAUCCUCGCCGAGGAUGAAACUGACGGGGAGCAGAGGCAUCCCUUUGAUGCUCUGCGGAGAGCCACCAUAAAGAAGAGCAAGACAGACCUGCUCAACCCCGAGGAGGCGGAGGAUCAGCUCGCCGACAUCGCCUC
Molecule: long non-coding RNA, 210 nt
Organism: Myotis lucifugus (little brown bat)
Lineage: Eukaryota; Metazoa; Chordata; Mammalia; Chiroptera; Vespertilionidae
Exons: 3
Source: RefSeq, a predicted model, not a curated record